This 5347-nucleotide unclassified non-coding RNA is filed under the name Diabrotica virgifera virgifera (western corn rootworm). Its description in RNAcentral is "zinc finger protein 845-like". The record is from RNAcentral. Lineage: Eukaryota; Metazoa; Arthropoda; Insecta; Coleoptera; Chrysomelidae.
GACUGUGAAUCUUAGACAAGGAAAAAAGAGCUGUGAAUGAAAAGCCCUAUAUGCGUCAUGCGUCAGUUGGAAUGAGACCUGCGCAGUGAUGUGGGAGGGACAUCUCUCUCCCACAUCACUGGACCACGAAGCGUUAAAUACCGCUAUGAAUUCCAAGAUUUCAUUGGUUAGAACUACUCACGUGAUAUAUGUGUUCGUAUUGGUCAAAUGAUUAAGAAUGACAGAGCGGGAUAUUUAAAUACCAAUAUUGUAUGCAAAGUGUCGUUUCAAGAAAACAAGUCAGCUGACUGAGGAUGAUGGAUAAAUAUUAAUUUCUUGUUUAUCUUUGACAAUUUUUAUGAUAGAAAUAAAAGUGUGGUAGAAAAUCAAUAUGUAUAUUGAAAAACGGUAUUGAUUAAAAAACACUAUUUAUUCGUUUCUACUAGUCUUCUUUCUAGACUCUACCUAGUCUCAUAAAAUAUUUCUUUUUAUCUCAUAAAAAAUAUAAACAAUUAUUGUAUAGUUAUAAUAUUCUUUUAAUUUAUUUCAGUUGUUCAAUACAAACACGGCAGUACUAGAAUAUAUCUUAUAAAUUAAAUUAUAAAUGCAUGAAAAUUAAAAAGAGAUAAUUUACAUAAAAGUUAAUAUAGGUACUGGAUAUGGGGAAAAGUAAUUUAGGGGAAAUUAUAUGUUAUAUUAUAUAAUAAUUAUGAUUUUCUUCGGCAUUUUGUGAAGUAUAGGGCAUGUUGUGUCUAGUGUCCUUUUAAAAAGUCUGAAAUUUCAUUUACAUUUGGAUUUUUAAACGUAUCACUUAUUAAUAUGUUGCUAAGAUUUUUGUUCCUUUGUGGAGAAAAACCGUUUCUGUGGUUCAAUGUUUUUACAUAUUGAAACCUUUAAAACACUUCAAUUUUUUUAUGCAAAUUUUUAUUAAAUUUUUUGUUGCAUGUGUAUAUUUGACAAAACAAUCUAAACAUUGCUGUCACUUAAAUUAUCUAAAUCGGGUGUAUGUAUUUACAAGCAUCGUCAAAUCUUCAUGAUCUUUUUUAUUGCAAAUUAAAUUGAUGUUACUUAAAUCCUUAAAGUCGUGGUUUCACUAUCAAAUAAUUUGAUCAAACAGUUUGAGCAAACUCAGGAAGUGACGUCACAACUGCAGUUUGUUCAAAUUAUAAAAAUCUAGUCGUCACACUAUCAGUUUGAUCAAAGUUUGUAUUGAGAGUUGUGGUAGUAGGUACAUAUAUCAAAACCCACAAGCAUUCCAACACUUUAGCGAAUAAUAAGCCCCAAACUCUCUAUUGUAGAAGGGAGUUAGUAACAAACCAAAAAGAAAUCAAGUCCUGAUUAGGAAAAAUCUAGAAAACAAACAAGAGUAACUAUUGGCUACAAAAGCUGCUGUACAAAAAUCAGUGUGCAUGCUGAAGAAAGCAACGCAGGAAAGGAUAACGAAACAAUUUUAACGUGUAGCUAGGCCAUGACUGAUAAACAUAUACAGGGGCUCACAGCUUAAAUGAUGCAGUCACUACUCAAUAAAGCUAGCUUGUGUCAGUCGCUCAAUAUUUAUUAGAAAAAACUUACAUACUGAAGGUAGGUAAGUUAGUAUGAUGAGUCUUCUAAAAUAGCAUAAGCUAUGUUUUGGGUUUCAAAUAUGCAAUAAUUAACACCCUCAGCGCCAGUGUAUCCUUUUAGAUAUACACUGUCCUCAACACUGUGUACUAAAAAAGAUACACAUGGCUCGUUGUGUUCGAUCUAUUGUGUCACCUAAAAGGACACACUUUCCUAAGUUUUUAUAUGUAGAGAAUAAUGCUAUGGCCUGAGCCAAUUUCCUGGUAUAACUGGGUUUGGCCUUAUGACAUAAAAAGAUAGAUUGUAUGUAACUAGAAAUUCGUAUGAAAAAUGUUGCCAUGUAUGGGCCAAAACAACUUGCUCCAACUCAUUAUGCAGGGAAAGAUUCAAGGAAAAGGAAGCAUAGGGAGAUGCAGAAUAUCUUGGCUGCGCAACUUGAGAGAAUGGUACGGAUGAACAUCAAAUGAACUUUUCAGAGCAGUCGUCUGCAAAGUCCUAAUAGCUAAGAUGUAUUGUCAGAGAAAUAGCAAAUAAUCCCAAAAAAGUGCACCAAAAUUGAGAGAUGAGGUGGAAACACAGUUUGGAAAAAUAGGUAACCCUAAAACAAUUAAACGGAUAUUACAAAAGAAUAAUCUACCUACAUAGCUGAACUGCAAGAAAUAAAUCUUUUAUCAGCCAAAGAAAUAAGCAACAAGGAGUUUUGUUUUCUUUAUUAAUAUUCUCCUUUAAAAGUUUACAUCAUUUUAGCUGAUAUCAAAAUCGUACACAAAAUAAUUAAAGAACUAUUGUUAUUUAAGUAUGGUAUAUUUGAAACCCAAAACAUAGCUUUGCUAUUUUAGAGGACUUUAGUUAGUAACUUACUGUCAGUAUGUAAUUUUUUUUUCUUAUAUUGGGUCACUGACACAAGCUAGUUUUAUUGAGUAACGACUGUAUCAUUUCAGAAUUGAAGCUGUGAGUCACUGUAGGUGCAGUACAAUAAUUUUGCUUAUACAAAUUAUCAGUAAUAAUAUUUAUUUACAUCAAAAUAAAAAUUCCAUCACAUAAUGAUGUCUAACAGCUGAUUGUCAUUUGUCUUUAUUGCUUAAUUCUCUGACCAAUACGAACACAGAUAUCACGUGGGUAGUUCUAACCAAUAAAAUCGUGGAAUUCAUAGCGGUAUUUAACGGCUCGUCACUGGACCUGCGCCUGCCUGCCUAGAAUUUAUGAGUGUUUAUUAUGACAUGCGUUUGGCCCAGUGAUGUGGGAGGUUUCCCCUUCCCCCUCUGAGCAGUAAAAUAUCGCGCAGCAACAGUCUGGCCAUCUACUAUACUAUUAUUCUCAUGUGGGACCCAUUUUCGCGCUGAUUUUUACUGCUCUUACGGCGGCCGUAAAAAACCGCCCAUGUGGCCAAACGCAUGACAUAGAGUGAUGCGCAUGCGCAUGACGCAUAUUGUUAUUGUUUCAUUUUUCAUUGUUGAUUGUUGGAUUGUUGCUGUUUGUAUUGAAAUCAAGUUUAAUUUAAUAAUAAAAUGGAAGUAAAACAAGAAUUUAAUGAGGAGACGUGUAAAAUAGAAAUAGAGUCUAACGACUUAGAUAAUGAUGAUGCUCUUCUAGAUCUAGAUGUCUUUAAAUGUGAAAUUAAGGAAGAAUCAAAUAGCAAAAGUACACAUUGCACAUGUGAUUAUUUAGACUUAAAGGAAAUUCCUACAAAUGAAAUACACCAAGAGAGAAAUAAACUAAACCCGUUUGAAGAAAACCAACAAACUGAAAAAGGCUUUAAAUGUGACAUUAAGGAGGAAUCCAAUAGCCAAAGUACACAUGACGCAUGUGAUUAUUUUGACUUAAAGAAAAUUCCUAGAAAUACUGAAAUACACCAAGAUGGAAAUAAACUAAACCUAUUUGAAGAAAACCAAAAAACUGAAAAAGGUUUUACUCAGGAGGAGAAUAAAAUAGAAGGUAUGGAAACAGUUUGUGAACAUUCAUCACGUAAACAACACUAUACUAGUCGACACGCCAAGGGAAAAACUGUAAAUAAAAAUGUAAAAGUACAGACUAGACAGGGAACUUACAAAUGUAAGAUUUGUUUCAAACAGUUUUCUAAAACACAUUAUUUGAAACAACAUUUAAGAAGGCACACUGGAGAAAAACCUCACAAGUGUGAAAUUUGUUUUCAGCAGUUCAGUCAAGCAGGACAUUUGAAAGAACAUUUGAGAGUGCACACUGGAGAAAAACCUCACAAGUGUGAAAUUUGUUUUAAGCAGUUUAGUCGAGUAGGACAUUUGAAAGAACAUUUGAGAGUGCACACUGGAGAAAAACCUCACAAGUGUGAAAUUUGUUUUAAGCAGUUUAGUCGAGUAGAACAUUUGAAAAGCCAUUUGAGAGUGCAUACUGCUGAAAAACCUCACAAGUGCCAAAUCUGUUUUAAGCAGUUUAGAGAAGCAGGUAGUUUAAAAACACAUUUGAGAGUGCACACUGGAGAAAUAUUAUACAAGUGUGAAAUCUGUUUUAAUCAGUUUAGUCACGCAAGUAGUUUGAAAAGACAUUUAGGAGUACACACUGAAGAAAGACCUUACAAGUGUGAAAUCUGUUUUAAGCAGUUUAUUAACACAAGUGAGUUGAAAAUACAUUUGAGAGUGCAUACUGGAGAAAAACCUCACAACUGUGAAAUUUGUUUUAAGCAGUUUAGUCAAACAAGCGAUUUGAAAAUACAUUUGAGAGUGCAUACUGGAGAAAAACCUCACAAGUGUGAAAUUUGUUUUAAGCAGUUUAGUCAAACAAGCAAUUUGAAAAAACAUUUGAGAGUGCAUACUGGAGAAAAACCUCACAAGUGUCAAAUCUGUUUUAAGCGGUUUAGUGAAGCAAGUAAUUUAAAAUCACAUUUGAGAGUGCACACUGGAGAAAAACCUCACAAGUGUGAAAUUUGUUUUAAGCAGUUUAGUCGAGUAGGACAUUUGAAAAGCCAUUUGAGAGUGCAUACUGCUGAAAAACCUCACAAGUGCCAAAUCUGUUUUAAGCAGUUUAGAGAAGCAGGUAGUUUAAAAACACAUUUGAGAGUGCACACUGGAGAAAUAUUAUACAAGUGUGAAAUCUGUUUUAAUCAGUUUAGUCACGCGAGUAGUUUGAAAAGACAUUUAGGAGUACACACUGAAGAAAGACCUUACAAGUGUGAAAUCUGUUUUAAGCAGUUUAUUAACACAAGUCAGUUGAAAAUACAUUUGAGAGUGCAUACUGGAGAAAAACCUCACAAGUGUGAAAUUUGUUUUAAGCAGUUUAGUCAAACAAGCGAUUUGAAAAAACAUUUGAGAGUGCAUACUGGAGAAAAACCUCACAAGUGUCAAAUCUGUUUUAAGCGGUUUAGUGAAGCAAGUAGUUUAAAAUCACAUUUGAGAGUGCAUACUGGAGAAAAACCUCACAAGUGUCAAAUCUGUUUAAGCGGUUUAGUGAAGCAAGUAGUUUAAAAUCAAAUUUGAGAGUGCACACUGGAGAAAAACCUCACAAGUGUGAAAUCUGUUUUAAGCAGUUUAGUGAAGAAAGUAGUUUGAAAUUACAUUUAAGAGUACACACUGGAGAUAAACCUUACAAGUGUGAAAUCUGUUUUCAGCAGUUUAGUCAAGCAGGAAAUUUGAAAAAACAUUUGAGAGUACACACAGGAGAAAAAGCUCACAAGUGUGAAAUCUGUUUUAAGCAGUUUAGUCAAGCAGGACAGUUGAAAAGACAUUUGAGAGUGCACCAUGGAGAAAAACCAUACAAGUGUCAAAUCUGUUUUAAGCAGUUUAGUCACGCAGGUAGUUUGAAAAUACAUUUAGGAGUACACACUCUGUUUUAAGCA